This 1207-nucleotide long non-coding RNA is filed under the name Mus musculus (house mouse). RNAcentral's name for it is "RIKEN cDNA 4930542C16 gene". Lineage: Eukaryota; Metazoa; Chordata; Mammalia; Rodentia; Muridae. The record is from RNAcentral.
GCUCCUGCAUUCAUCCUUUAUCCUGAGCAGCCCCUGGCCUCUCCCCUCCCAUUUAUUGCUCAGCCGCCCUCAUCACAAUCUCUCCCCAGUCUGCAAGGGAGCUGAUGGCUAUGAAUGAGAGCUAGGAAAGGAAGGAGGGGGCGACAAAGACCCUCUGAUAACCAGAAAGACUCCUGAUUGUGGGUGAAGAGAUCUGAGGUUUGGUCUCUGGUGCCAUCACUCAUGAGGGAACCUUGGGCUCAUCUCUCGUCAGCUUCAGGUUCCCUUUCCAAGAGAGUCAGGAAGAAAGUCCAACAGGAGCUUUGCCAGUUCUGACAUUCUCUCACGUGAAUACACACAGCUUGCGUGGCAGCAUUCUGGUCUCAUGUCUUAGUCACAAAGGUACUCCACUGUAUCAGAAUAUUUUCCUUGGCUGUGACCUCAGGCCAGGCCACAGGUCAGGACAGAAGAUAACACAGCCCAUUUUAUGCCUUAGGACCCACUUCUCCUGAAGUCUACGGUUAGAUCUGCAGAGCCUUACCAACCUUGAGAUGUAAGCUCUCAUCUUUUUGCUCCUCCCACCAUGCCUGCCAUUUGCUGACAUGCUUCCUUACCAUGGUGGACUCUUAUCUCUCUGGAACCAGAAGCCGAAAAAAACUCAUCCUUCUGUGUGUAUAUGUCCAAGGCAUCUAUGGAGACCAGAGAUGUCAGAUCUCCUGAAGCUGGCAUUACAGAAAAUGUUUGCUGAUAUCUGUUGCAAGAAAGUAAGAACUUGAUGCCCCAGGAGUCAAAAGAAUAAUGCUUAGAAGUUAGGUUCAGAAAAGAUCCAAGCAAACCUAUCACACUCUCAGUAUCCUAGGAAGAUCACUCAUCCCCAAAAGGAGGACCAAGACCACCCAGGGGAGAAAGAGUGGCUUCCUCAACAAACAUCACUCACUUAGCAAGUGGAUAUUCACAUGCAGAAAGAUGAAGCUGGGACCUUACUUCAUACGAUUGCAAGAAUGAAUUCAACUGGACCAACAACUUAAAUAUAAGAGUUAAAACCAAAAAUUCCUUGAAUGGAGCAAUAGAAUCUUAUACAUGACAGCGAAAGCCUGAGCAACAAAGGGAGGAAGAGAGGAAUGAGGCAUCACCACGACCACAACCCUUUGCACGUCACAUGCAUGAUAUUAUCAAGAAAGUGAAGAUUGAGCCCUAAGACUGAAUAAAACAAAAACUAUGCAAAUAA